CAGUCGCCGCGGGAAUACGAAGGGGGCUAGCGUUGCUCGGAAUGACUGGGCGUAAAGGGCGCGUAGGCGGCUGACACAGUCAGAUGUGAAAUUCCUGGGCUCAACCUGGGGACUGCAUUUGAGACGUGUUGGCUUGAGUGGAGAAGAGGGUCGUGGAAUUUCCAGUGUAGAGGUGAAAUUCGUAGAUAUUGGAAAGAACACCGGUGGCGAAGGCGGCGACCUGGUCUUUAACUGACGCUGAGGCGCGAAAGCGUGGGGAGCAAACAGGAUUAGAUACCCCGGUAGUCCCUGUCUCUUAUAC
This 301-nucleotide ribosomal RNA is filed under the name uncultured bacterium. Its description in RNAcentral is "partial 16S ribosomal RNA". It matches the Rfam family "Bacterial small subunit ribosomal RNA", at positions 509 to 807 of the family's 1533-position model. The record is from RNAcentral.